RNAcentral lists this ribosomal RNA (713 nucleotides) under Escherichia coli. RNAcentral describes it as "partial 23S ribosomal RNA". It matches the Rfam family "Bacterial large subunit ribosomal RNA", at positions 2230 to 2925 of the family's 2925-position model. The record is from RNAcentral. Lineage: Bacteria; Pseudomonadati; Pseudomonadota; Gammaproteobacteria; Enterobacterales; Enterobacteriaceae.
GGCCCCUAAUCGGGGUUGCGGACAGUGUCUGGUGGGUAGUUUGACUGGGGCGGUCUCCUCCUAAAGAGUAACGGAGGAGCACGAAGGUUGGCUAAUCCUGGUCGGACAUCAGGAGGUUAGUGCAAUGGCAUAAGCCAGCUUGACUGCGAGCGUGACGGCGCGAGCAGGUGCGAAAGCAGGUCAUAGUGAUCCGGUGGUUCUGAAUGGAAGGGCCAUCGCUCAACGGAUAAAAGGUACUCCGGGGAUAACAGGCUGAUACCGCCCAAGAGUUCAUAUCGACGGCGGUGUUUGGCACCUCGAUGUCGGCUCAUCACAUCCUGGGGCUGAAGUAGGUCCCAAGGGUAUGGCUGUUCGCCAUUUAAAGUGGUACGCGAGCUGGGUUUAGAACGUCGUGAGACAGUUCGGUCCCUAUCUGCCGUGGGCGCUGGAGAACUGAGGGGGGCUGCUCCUAGUACGAGAGGACCGGAGUGGACGCAUCACUGGUGUUCGGGUUGUCAUGCCAAUGGCACUGCCCGGUAGCUAAAUGCGGAAGAGAUAAGUGCUGAAAGCAUCUAAGCACGAAACUUGCCCCGAGAUGAGUUCUCCCUGAGACUUAGAGUCUCCUGAAGGAACGUUGAAGACGACGACGUUGAUAGGCCGGGUGUGUAAGCGCAGCGAUGCGUUGAGCUAACCGGUACUAAUGAACCGUGAGGCUUAACCUUACAACGCCGAAG